Molecule: ribosomal RNA, 301 nt
Filed under: uncultured bacterium
Lineage: Bacteria
Description: partial 16S ribosomal RNA
Rfam family: Bacterial small subunit ribosomal RNA
Source: RNAcentral
CAGUAGCCGCGGUAAUACGAAGGGUGCAAGCGUUAAUCGGAAUUACUGGGCGUAAAGCGCACGUAGGCGGCUUUGUAAGUUAGAGGUGAAAGCCUGAAGCUCAACUCCAGAAUUGCCUUUAAGACUGCAUCGCUUGAAUCGCGGAGAGGUGAGUGGAAUUCCGAGUGUAGAGGUGAAAUUCGUAGAUAUUCGGAAGGACACCAGUGGCGAAGGCGGCUCACCGGACGCGUAUUGACGCUGAGGUGCGAAAGCGUGGGGAGCAAACAGGAUUAGAUACCCCGGUAGUCCCUGUCUCUUAUAC